AGCUCCAUCAAAAUGAAGUAUGCUGCCAGGCAUGCCCAAGGUCUCUGGUGAACAAGGAAUCUGGUUUCCUUUACCUUCUUUUGGCUGUCUAUCUGU
Small nucleolar RNA from Mastomys coucha (southern multimammate mouse), 96 nucleotides. RefSeq annotates it as small nucleolar RNA SNORA67. NCBI's taxonomy places the organism in Eukaryota, Metazoa, Chordata, Mammalia, Rodentia, Muridae. The record is from RefSeq and is a predicted model, not a curated record. The transcript has a single exon.